Molecule: RNA transcript, 1568 nt
Organism: Balaenoptera musculus (blue whale)
Lineage: Eukaryota; Metazoa; Chordata; Mammalia; Artiodactyla; Balaenopteridae
Gene: CCDC190
Gene name: coiled-coil domain containing 190
Exons: 5
Source: RefSeq, a predicted model, not a curated record
GAGAGCUUUCAAGUGUAUUCAACCUUCUCCCCCUCAGCCUUCUCCAAAAGUCCCUCUAUCUCCCACCUCCCCAACACUAAACUCUUAAAACUUACUGAAGAAAAACAAGCACAUUAAUCCAGGCUCAACCUGGCAUAGCAAAAGAAGCAGGCAGCAUUCUCAGGAUUUGUAGACCAUGAAGAGGAUGGAGAGGUACCUGGUCAGGGGACCACUACAGAAGCACUUUGAUUUGGAGAGGAAGAAUGCCAAGCAGGCUGAAGCCAGACUCAGCCAAAGACUGCAGAGGUUAGAGGAUAUCUGCCUAUACCAUGUGAAGUUGCUGACCAGGGAGCAGAGAGAGCUCCAGAAAGAACUGCAGAGGUUGCAGCAAGAUAUCAUCAAGAAAAAGUUCUCCUCUUACUUUGAGAAUGGAAGUCAGAAGAGACCAGAAGAUGUUCUUAUGUUCUCAUCACAGGGAAGACAGAAGCACAGGGUUCUACAGGCUAAUAAAUUUAGAGCACUGACAACAAAUACGAUCCAAGAAAUAUACAAAACCAAGUCCCAGAUGCCUCCUUUCCAUCACAUUGGUCCCAAGGACCCCAUGAAAAGCAAAAGGCAGUCGCUAUCUCAAAAUAACAGAACUUCCCACUUUAUAGAAGAGAAGCCGCAAGCCCAAGAGAAAUAUUCUAUAAACCCACUGAAGGGCAAAGACUCCAACAAGGGCAUUUCUAUUCUAUGUCAAGAUCAAGACGUCUCCACUCACACCAUAGACCAAGGCCCCAGUUCCAGCCCAGCUGGUGGUAGCAGAAUGGCACACGGCGAUGAGACCAGAUCAAAUGAUGCCAACAUAAGGCCAGACCAUGCCACUGGGAAACAAAUUCCCCCGAAUCCCAUGGAAUGUGGAGGGAACCUCAAAGGCGAGCCCAAAACAUCAACCUACUUAGAGUUGUUUGCAAAGGCCAGAAACGCUCACUACCUCCGGCACCGGGUCCCCCCUGAGUCUGAGAGAUUGCUUAGCAUUGGGGAGAUCUUUGGGCACAAGGAAUCCUCACAGCCCAGAGCAGAAAAGGGGUGUGAAUACAGGGUGACCAUCUAAGUUACUUCCUCUCUAACCAUCUAACAUAUCCUCACAAUAACAUAUGCUAUAAUCACUAAAUAGAAGUGUUUCUCAAGCAACUGUAGUAAGCAAUACAAAUAUAUAUAUGCAAUACAUAUAUAUGUGUAUAUAUAUAUACUUUUUUCUUAAAACCUAAUUUUUUGUCUUUUUAUGCAAAUAUAAUCUUUCACUGAAUGAGCAAUGUUAACAUGAAAAAUGAAGGGAGAGGUGAAUCUUCCGAAACCAUUUUAAGCAAUGUACACAUGUUGCUAACAUCAUCAAAAUUAUGAAUCUACAUUGAUGUCUAGAGUUUUCCUGAAAGGUAAAAUAUUAAGGAUCCUGCUUACCUUUGCCACCCUUUUCUUAUAGGAGAUUCUUAUGGUGCCACCUGCUGGCAAAAUGGCAUGGCUCUUCUGUUUGUUUUAGUUUCACAUAUAAAGGAUUGCAUAUACCUGGAAAGUAAGCCAGAGGAAGGGAGUGGGACAGACAGCUG